Long non-coding RNA from Esox lucius (northern pike), 460 nucleotides. RefSeq lists it as uncharacterized. NCBI's taxonomy places the organism in Eukaryota, Metazoa, Chordata, Actinopteri, Esociformes, Esocidae. The record is from RefSeq and is a predicted model, not a curated record. The transcript is spliced from 4 exons.
GCGGACCAGAGCAGCCAACUUCUCAUCUCUCAUCUCCUCCAGGACACCCAGAAGACCAGCUUUGAAGAAAACCUGAGACAGGCUUCUUACAUAGAUCAUCCAUGCUGCAUAACGCUCUUUGAGGUUAUACAACACAGUAGCUUCAUUCAGGCUUACGGAGGUAUAUGGCAGCCUUGCCAUAUUGCUCCAUCUCUGCGUCCGUACUCAUGGUGAAGGAUCUCUAGGAAAGAGAUGAAACAAGAAGCGUUAUGGACACCGUGUUGCUUCCUCCACACUCAACAGAUGAGAGUCUUACCACAGAGGAAGAAAGUGUCUGACUUAGGGGGAUCCAGGGGCCCCAUCCUCCUUAUAUCAGUUUGAAGGUGCCAACCAAGCAAAAGUUAAUUAUGGACCACUCUGGAGAAGGAAAUGGAUUGGAGGAGAUAGAUCUUUGAUCAUGCAUUCAACUAAUGUCAACAAA